RNAcentral lists this ribosomal RNA (305 nucleotides) under uncultured bacterium. Its description in RNAcentral is "bacterial SSU rRNA". It matches the Rfam family "Bacterial small subunit ribosomal RNA", at positions 498 to 800 of the family's 1533-position model. The record is from RNAcentral.
UUCCUACGGGGGGCAGCAGCCGCGGUAAUACGUAGGGAGCGAGCGUUAUCCGGAUUUAUUGGGUGUAAAGGGUGCGUAGACGGGUAUACAAGUUGGUUGUGAAAUCCCUCGGCUUAACUGAGGAACUGCAACCAAAACUGUAUAUCUUGAGUACAGGAGAGGUAAGUGGAAUUCCUAGUGUAGCGGUGAAAUGCGUAGAUAUUAGGAGGAACACCAGUGGCGAAGGCGACUUACUGGACUGAAACUGACGUUGAGGCACGAAAGUGUGGGGAGCAAACAGGAUUAGAUACCCCAGUAGUCCGUUC